Molecule: long non-coding RNA, 197 nt
Filed under: Dasypus novemcinctus (nine-banded armadillo)
Lineage: Eukaryota; Metazoa; Chordata; Mammalia; Cingulata; Dasypodidae
Description: lncRNA (ENSDNOG00000050144.1)
Source: RNAcentral
CAGUGCUUACCCUGUUCUUUGGUAACUUGUGAUGUACAUCAUGAUCAUGCCCUGUUACUGUCAUAACUCAAAAUCCAGGUAACUUUUUUCCAUACAAACAGGAUAUCAAGUCUGCAAAAGAAAUGUACUUUCCCAGUUGGAACAGGAAGAAGUGUCAAGAGAAGUAGUUUUUCCUCAAUACCAGAAUCCAGGGAGGA